RNAcentral lists this long non-coding RNA (907 nucleotides) under Homo sapiens (human). RNAcentral's name for it is "Pvt1 oncogene". The stretch from base 1 to 176 matches the Rfam family "Pvt1 oncogene conserved region 1". The record is from RNAcentral. Lineage: Eukaryota; Metazoa; Chordata; Mammalia; Primates; Hominidae.
GAGCACAUGGGCCCGCGGGCCGGGCGGGCUCGGGGCGGCCGGGACGAGGAGGGGCGACGACGAGCUGCGAGCAAAGAUGUGCCCCGGGACCCCCGGCACCUUCCAGUGGAUUUCCUUGCGGAAAGGAUGUUGGCGGUCCCUGUGACCUGUGGAGACACGGCCAGAUCUGCCCUCCAGCCUGAUCUUUUGGCCAGAAGGAGAUUAAAAAGAUGCCCCUCAAGAUGGCUGUGCCUGUCAGCUGCAUGGAGCUUCGUUCAAGUAUUUUCUGAGCCUGAUGGAUUUACAGUGAUCUUCAGUGGUCUGGGGAAUAACGCUGGUGGAACCAUGCACUGGAAUGACACACGCCCGGCACAUUUCAGGAUACUAAAAGUGGUUUUAAGGGAGGCUGUGGCUGAAUGCCUCAUGGAUUCUUACAGCUUGGAUGUCCAUGGGGGACGAAGGACUGCAGCUGGCUGAGAGGGUUGAGAUCUCUGUUUACUUAGAUCUCUGCCAACUUCCUUUGGGUCUCCCUAUGGAAUGUAAGACCCCGACUCUUCCUGGUGAAGCAUCUGAUGCACGUUCCAUCCGGCGCUCAGCUGGGCUUGAGAAUCAAGAGAUGCAUAUGCAGGUUUGUUACAGAGGUAUAUGGGAUGCGGUUGAAGUUUGGAGUAUGAUUGAACUCAUCACGCAGGACUUCGCAGGUGAGCAGUAACGGAAAUCAGCCCCGUUUAUUCCUCCCAGCACCUGCCUUAUCCAACUCCCCACGCUGUGGCUGAGUCCCAGCCUGCUAUGGAAGCAUCACUGGACUCCCAUUGAACUCUGUGCAGAUUCGCUGUUCGUAGACAUGGUACCUGAUGGACACCAAGCUACGUACAGCUUCAAGGCCCCUUCUUUCUUUGCUAAUAAAAAAUAAAAAAUAAAAACAUAA